This 1036-nucleotide unclassified non-coding RNA is filed under the name Hevea brasiliensis (rubber tree). The record is from RNAcentral. Lineage: Eukaryota; Viridiplantae; Streptophyta; Magnoliopsida; Malpighiales; Euphorbiaceae.
AAGCAGCAGAGGAACAUGAAAAUGAUCCCAUUUCUGCGAUUCUUUGAUCUCAAACACAAUAGAGACAUAAGGGAAAAAUCCAUCAGGAUUAUACUUACCGGUGUUGAAACUUAUCCUGUAUAUACCUGGGACCAAAGCUUCAACCAUAUUCAUCAACUGACCACUUCGGCCAUCUUUGUCCGUUGCUGAAGACCCUAGUAAUAUCCAGCCAUCAAUAUAAGUUUUGCCAAAUUGUGGUCUUGCUUGGUUGUCUUUCCACAUCUCCAGUCGUACUUCAAUGCCAUUCGCUGGAUAUCCACGGCUAGUGUCCAGAACAUGGGUUGUGAUGGGCGGGCGAGUUCUAUUUGGAAUAAGAGCUGGUUUUGCUCGAGCAGCUCCAGAAGAAGCAGUCAAAUGUGCUCCAAUAAUGUUCACACGAUCUUCUGCUUUUGUCGCAAUAUUAGUUGUAGACAAGGGUUUAAUUGCCGGAGCAGUAUCUGCUUUGUCUGAGAAGAGCUUGGAAAGGCGUAAUUCAGUUAUUUUCAUUUGCUCCUGGGCUGCAAUCUCAAACUCAAUUAUUGGUCUGUUCUGGUAUCGAAUCUUCAACUCUGCAAGUAUCUCAGGGGUACUUCUCCCUGAAGCACAUAUCAAGAAGACAAAGCCAAACUUCUCCCUAUAGCGAGCAUUCCACUCGAGCAGUUCCUGUAACGUCAACUCAGUAGCAGUGGACAGAGCUGUUGACUGCUCUCCCUUGCUCCACUGGGCAAAAGUAGGGCUUUUGUGAUCCCGAGAAGGGUUUUGACCAAUUUGUGGAUGAGCAGCAAAAGCUUCAAGCCAUCCAUUAACAUCAACCUUGUUGAACCAGAUAUUUCUGGCAACAUGGAUGGCAUCUUGAUGAGUAGAAAAGGGGCCAGCUGCUACCAUUUCCUUUGCGAAUUUGGUGCUCCCACAGCAUGCCAAGAAAUCUUUUUCAUCAAACACUGAUCCCAUUUUUCUGCAAAUUUUCAGAUUAAUUAGCAGCACACAACACUUUCACAGGAUUCCAAAUUGGGUUUUG